UGGGUAACCUGCCCAAGAGAUCGGGAUAACACCUGGAAACAGAUGCUAAUACCGGAUAACAACAGAUGAUGCCUAUCAACUGUUUAAAAGAUGGUUCUGCUAUCACUCUUGGAUGGACCUGCGGUGCAUUAGCUAGUUGGUAGGGUAACGGCCUACCAAGGCGAUGAUGCAUAGCCGAGUUGAGAGACUGAUCGGCCACAUUGGGACCGAGACACGGCCCAAACUCCUACGGGAGGCAGCAGCC
RNAcentral lists this ribosomal RNA (244 nucleotides) under uncultured Lactobacillus sp. Its description in RNAcentral is "partial 16S ribosomal RNA". It matches the Rfam family "Bacterial small subunit ribosomal RNA", at positions 118 to 355 of the family's 1533-position model. Lineage: Bacteria; Bacillati; Bacillota; Bacilli; Lactobacillales; Lactobacillaceae. The record is from RNAcentral.